GUGGGAGUGUAAUGUCUUCCCUGUUCAUCCAAAACAAUAUUUCUGUUGGUGCUUCUGGUGCUCUCUUUGGACUUCUCGGAGCUAUGUUAUCGGAGCUUUUGACGAACUGGACAAUUUACACCAACAAGGCUGCUGCACUAUUCACCCUCAUUGUCAUCGUUGUUAUUAACUUGGCAGUUGGAAUUCUACCUCAUGUCGACAACUUUGCCCACAUUGG
RNAcentral lists this unclassified non-coding RNA (217 nucleotides) under Hevea brasiliensis (rubber tree). The record is from RNAcentral. Lineage: Eukaryota; Viridiplantae; Streptophyta; Magnoliopsida; Malpighiales; Euphorbiaceae.